GUGCUCACUUUGGCAGCACUUAUACUAAAAUUGGAACAAUACAGAGAAGAUUAACAUGACCCCUGCACAAGGAUGACACACAAAUUUGUGAAAUGGUCCAAAUUCAA
Small nuclear RNA from Pipistrellus kuhlii (Kuhl's pipistrelle), 107 nucleotides. NCBI's taxonomy places the organism in Eukaryota, Metazoa, Chordata, Mammalia, Chiroptera, Vespertilionidae. The record is from RefSeq and is a predicted model, not a curated record.